AGUGAACGCUGGCGGUAGGCCUAACACAUGCAAGUCGAACGGCAGCACAGUAAGAGCUUGCUCUUACGGGUGGCGAGUGGCGGACGGGUGAGGAAUACAUCGGAAUCUACUUUUUCGUGGGGGAUAACGUAGGGAAACUUACGCUAAUACCGCAUACGACCUACGGGUGAAAGCAGGGGAUCUUCGGACCUUGCGCGAUUGAAUGAGCCGAUGUCGGAUUAGCUAGUUGGCGGGGUAAAGGCCCACCAAGGCGACGAUCCGUAGCUGGUCUGAGAGGAUGAUCAGCCACACUGGAACUGAGGCACGGUCCAGACUCCUACGGGAGGCAGCAGUGGGGAAUAUUGGACAAUGGGCGCAAGCCUGAUCCAGCCAUACCGCGUGGGUGAAGAAGGCCUUCGGGUUGUAAAGCCCUUUUGUUGGGGAAGAAAAGCAGCAGGUUAAUACCCCGCUGUUCUGACGGUACCCAAAGAAUAAGCACCGGCUAACUUCGUG
This 492-nucleotide ribosomal RNA is filed under the name uncultured bacterium. RNAcentral's name for it is "partial 16S ribosomal RNA". It matches the Rfam family "Bacterial small subunit ribosomal RNA", at positions 29 to 507 of the family's 1533-position model. The record is from RNAcentral.